AUUGAACGCUGGCGGCAUGCUUUACACAUGCAAGUCGAACGGUAACAGGUUAAGCUGACGAGUGGCGAACGGGUGAGUAAUGCAUCGGAACGUGCCCGGUCGUGGGGGAUAACGCAGCGAAAGCUGCGCUAAUACCGCAUACGAUCUAAGGAUGAAAGCGGGGGACCGUAAGGCCUCGCGCGAUCGGAGCGGCCGAUGUCAGAUUAGGUAGUUGGUGGGGUAAAGGCUCACCAAGCCAACGAUCUGUAGCUGGUCUGAGAGGACGACCAGCCACACUGGGACUGAGACACGGCCCAGACUCCUACGGGAGGCAGCAGUGGGGAAUUUUGGACAAUGGGCGAGAGCCUGAUCCAGCAAUGCCGCGUGCGGGAAGAAGGCCUUCGGGUUGUAAACUGCUUUUGUACGGAGCGAAAAGGUCUCCUCUAAUACAGGGGGCUCAUGACGGUACCGUAAGAAUAAGCACCGGCUAACUACGUGCCAGCAGCCGCCGUAA
Molecule: ribosomal RNA, 493 nt
Filed under: uncultured bacterium
Lineage: Bacteria
Description: partial 16S ribosomal RNA
Rfam family: Bacterial small subunit ribosomal RNA
Source: RNAcentral